UAGUGGUCUGUGUGUGAAAUGUCAGGUCGUAGUGGUGUAUGGUGAAAAUGUCAGGCUGUAGUGGUCAAGGGUGAAAAUGUCAGGCUGUAGUGGUCAAGGGUGAAAAUGUCAGGUUGUAGUGGUCUGUGGUGAAAAAUGUCAGGCUGUAGUGGUCAAGGGUGAAAAUGUCAGGUCGUAGUGGUGUAUGGUGAAAACGUCAGGUCGUAGUGGUCAGGGUGAAAAUGUCAGGCUGUAGUGGUCUGUGGUGAAAAUGUCAGGUCGUAGUGGUGUAUGGUGAAAAUGUCAGGUCGUAGUGGUCAAGGGUGAAAAUGUCAGGUCGUAGUGGUGUAUGGUGAAAAUGUCAGGUCGUAGUGGUCAAGGGUGAAAAUGUCAGGUCGUAGUGGUGUAUGGUGAAAAUGUCAGGUCGUAGUGGUCAAGGGUGAAAAUGUCAGGUCGUAGUGGUCAAGGGUGAAAAUGUCAGGUCGUAGUGGUCAAGGGUGAAAAUGUCAUGUCGUAGUGGUCAAGGGUGAAAAUGUCAGGUCGUAGUGGUGUAUGGUGAAAAUGUCAGGUCGUAGUGGUGUAUGGUGAAAAUGUCAGGCUGUAGUGGUCUGUGGUGAAAAUGUCAGGCUGUAGUGGUCUGUGGUGAAAAUGUCAGGCUGUAGUGGUGUAUGGUGAAAAUGUCAGGCUGUAGUGGUCUGUGGUGAAAAUGUCAGGUCGUAGUGGUGGGAGUGUUUGAACAGACACAAUUCUAGUGACAAACUGUCUGGAGAUUACAGCCCCACCCGUCAAGCGCGAAAACAACCGUGUUCUUGCAAAGUAAAGAAUGAGGGGAAAAAAAUAAAAUGGCCGAGUGUUGGCUCUGGUAGAGAACGAAACAAACAUCAUGUUCAGGCAUGGUCCUAUAGAGAAGUAGUCAUCUUAAUAAACACUGAAGUGUUCACUACAAUAAACAUGAGUCAUUCUCUCUCUCUUCCUCUUUCUUCCAGAUCUUCUGGUUUGUCCUUUAUUUCUCCUCGGGAAGUGAUCACGAGUGCUGGAAUUAACCCUCUUUCACUGUGCUGCUUGGAACGGACUGCCACAC
This is a long non-coding RNA of Ictalurus punctatus (channel catfish), 1060 nucleotides long. Lineage: Eukaryota; Metazoa; Chordata; Actinopteri; Siluriformes; Ictaluridae. The record is from Ensembl.